Molecule: long non-coding RNA, 285 nt
Filed under: Elaeis guineensis (African oil palm)
Lineage: Eukaryota; Viridiplantae; Streptophyta; Magnoliopsida; Arecales; Arecaceae
Description: long non-coding RNA (EGUI_LNC039026)
Source: RNAcentral
UGGAGAUGAUGUCACACUAACUAGACUAGAUCUUUUAAUCAGAUUUGGAUCUGAGUUGGAUCGAGAUGAAAUCUAGAUUCAGUGGUGCCUUCCUUCCUUUUGAGGCUUUAGUUCCAAAGCCCUAGACGAUAGUGGUGGUGCAAGACAUCUUGGUGGUGACUGACAAGGGAGGUUGAGGUUGAUAUAAAGGACGAUGAUAAUGAAGAAGGCACCAAUGAUGAUAGGGAGGCAAGCAAUCCAAAUGAUGAUAAGUGGAGAGGAUAAGAGCUCUCGAUGGCCCCUGAA